Molecule: ribosomal RNA, 279 nt
Filed under: uncultured bacterium
Lineage: Bacteria
Description: partial small subunit ribosomal RNA
Rfam family: Bacterial small subunit ribosomal RNA
Source: RNAcentral
GGGACGGGACCGCGUCCCAUUAGCUAGUUGGUGAGGUAAUGGCCCACCAAGGCUCCGAUGGGUAGCUGGUUUGAGAGAGCGACCAGCCACACUGGGACUGAGAUACGGCCCAGACUCCUACGGGAGGCAGCAGUGAGGAAUUUUCCGCAAUGGGCGAAAGCCUGACGGAGCGACGCCGCGUGUGGGAAGAAGGCCUUCGGGUCGUAAACCACUGUCGAAGGGGAAGAUAUUGACGGUACCCUUGGAGGAAGCCCCGGCUAACUACGUGCCAGCAGCCGC